This 96-nucleotide transfer RNA is filed under the name Streptomyces griseus. Its description in RNAcentral is "tRNA-Ser(act)". RNAcentral also lists the same sequence under 4 other names. Lineage: Bacteria; Bacillati; Actinomycetota; Actinomycetes; Kitasatosporales; Streptomycetaceae. The record is from RNAcentral.
CGGUUAUCUGCGCGGGGUCCUCGGCGGGGUCCGGUCACUGACCGGGCUCGGCGGGGCCUCCGGGGAGGAGCACCAGUUCGAGUUCAGCGGGGCCGG